GCAGAUGUAGUUCAGUGGUAGAACUUCAGCCUUCCAAGCUGACUAUACGGGUUCGAUUCCCGCCAUCUGCUCCA
Molecule: transfer RNA, 74 nt
Filed under: Bacilli bacterium
Lineage: Bacteria; Bacillati; Bacillota; Bacilli
Also listed under: 1 other name
Description: tRNA-Gly
Rfam family: tRNA
About the family: Transfer RNA (tRNA) molecules are approximately 80 nucleotides in length. Their secondary structure includes four short double-helical elements and three loops (D, anti-codon, and T loops).
Source: RNAcentral